Molecule: ribosomal RNA, 253 nt
Filed under: uncultured bacterium
Lineage: Bacteria
Description: partial 16S ribosomal RNA
Rfam family: Bacterial small subunit ribosomal RNA
Source: RNAcentral
GACGAACUGUGCAAACGUUAUUCGGAAUCACUGGGCUUGAAGAGUGCGUAGGCGGUUUUGUAAGUCGGGCGUGAAAUCCCACGGCUCAACCGUGGAAGUGCACCCGAAACUGCGUAGCUAGAGUCCUGGAGAGGAAGGUGGAAUGCUUGGUGUAGAGGUGAAAUUCGUAGAUAUCAAGCGGAACACCGGUGGCGAAGGCGGCCUUCUGGACAGUGACUGACGCUGAGACGCGAAAGCGUGGGGAGCAAACAGG